CCUGCUGCCACGGCUGUUUCCAAUGCUGCUGAAACAAAUCAGCAACACUCUUGGAAAGGAGCUGCCUUCAUCUGCAGGAAGAGUUGAAGACGAGCCAGUCCUUGUGGCAAGUGGUGAAGGCAGCAGUCCUUGCAGGCUUUCCAUCAAAGCAUUAGAUACUGUGCUCUGCAAGUGCAUCAGUGAGAAAUGCAUGGGGAUUCUCCGGAAGCAGAACACAUGGGCUUUUCUUGAAAAUCCCCGGACAUACCAUGAGGGCAUGUGUCUGCUGACUAGUGUUCUCCUCCAAACUGAUGUGGUCACGGUGACCACCAUACGUGCUGUCUUGCCA
This is a long non-coding RNA of Dromaius novaehollandiae (emu), 328 nucleotides long. RefSeq lists it as uncharacterized. NCBI's taxonomy places the organism in Eukaryota, Metazoa, Chordata, Aves, Casuariiformes, Dromaiidae. The transcript is spliced from 3 exons. The record is from RefSeq and is a predicted model, not a curated record.